AAACCAGCACCUCAAGUGGUCAAGAGGAUUAUUGGGCCUAAAGCAUCCGUAGCCUGCUUUGUAAGUUUUCGGUUAAAUCCAUAUGCUCAACAUAUGGGCUGUCGGGAAUACUGCAUAGCUAGGGAGUGGGAGAGGUAGACGGUACUCGGGAGGAAGUGGUAAAAUGCUUUGAUCUCUCGAUGACCACCUGUGGCGAAGGCGGUCUACCAGAACACGUCCGACGGUGAGGGAUGAAAGCUGGGGGAGCAAACCGGAGUAGAAACCCCAGUAGUCC
This 274-nucleotide ribosomal RNA is filed under the name uncultured bacterium. RNAcentral describes it as "partial 16S ribosomal RNA". It matches the Rfam family "Archaeal small subunit ribosomal RNA", at positions 473 to 747 of the family's 1478-position model. The record is from RNAcentral.